GAGUUUGAUUCUGGCUCAGGAUGAACGCUGGCGGCGUGCCUAACACAUGCAAGUCGAACGAAGCAUAUAGAAGGAAGUUUUCGGAUGGAAUUUUAUAUGACUUAGUGGCGGACGGGUGAGUAACGCGUGGAUAAUCUGCCUUACACAGCGGGAUAACAAGUGGAAACAGUUGCUAAUACCGCAUAAGCACACAGUAUCGCAUGAUACAGGGUGAAAAGAUUUAUCGGUGUAAGAUGAGUCCGCGUCCCAUUAGCUAGUUGGUGAGGUAAAAGCUUACCAAGGCGACGAUGGGUAGCCGGCCUGAGAGGGUGAACGGCCACAUUGGGACUGAGACACGGCCCAGACUCCUACGGGAGGCAGCAGUGGGGGAUAUUGCACAAUGGGCGAAAGCCUGAUGCAGCGACGCCGCGUGAAGGAUGAAGUAUUUCGGUAUGUAAACUUCUAUCAGCAGGGAAGAAAAUGACGG
Molecule: ribosomal RNA, 466 nt
Filed under: Lachnospiraceae bacterium canine oral taxon 024
Lineage: Bacteria; Bacillati; Bacillota; Clostridia; Lachnospirales; Lachnospiraceae
Description: bacterial SSU rRNA
Rfam family: Bacterial small subunit ribosomal RNA
Source: RNAcentral